Molecule: long non-coding RNA, 1193 nt
Organism: Eupeodes corollae
Lineage: Eukaryota; Metazoa; Arthropoda; Insecta; Diptera; Syrphidae
Exons: 3
Source: RefSeq, a predicted model, not a curated record
UUCCACAAUCCUCACCAAACCAUAUGCUAUUUGUUGAAACAGGAAUCUCACCAUUAUUCAUAGAAACAUUGCGACUUCAUUUCAACUUCAUUGCGAAAACUAUGGUACUGGACAGAGAUAGGUUGACCAAACGAAUAGCAAGUUACGUGAUAGAGAAGAGAAUAUUGUUUUAUGAACAUUGGAAAGCACUCGCAGAGCUCGCUGGUCACACUUUAAGGAUUACUAUGGAUAAUAUCCAUCAAUGGAAGGAAGAGUUCGAUAAUUUAAUUAAAGUGGUAGAUGAAAAAAUGCGAGCGGAAAGUAUUGAAAAAGCACUAACUUCAACCCAUCGCGAAAUAUAUGCCAGCUUAAACCAUAAUCUUUGCGAAGACAACUAUUUUAAUGAAAAAUAUUCAACUGAGAAGAUUUGCAAAUUUUGUGGAAAACAUGUAUCACUUCCUGGGAAGAUGUCUUGUCUUAAAACAGUUCAGGAUUCAUUUUUUUGGGAAACUAGAACUGGAGGAACCAGAAAGGAAAAUGAUUUUAAAUGGCGCUGACUGGGAAAAAUUGAACAACUAUUGUCAACAAGCAUCGAAAUAUAGAGAGCUAUAAUUGAAGAAAAAUUUGAACAUACCUUUUACAAUACCUUAUUAUGUAUAUUUUGUUAAACUCGGGCAGACGGCUUUAAUAGUCAUGUCUUAAAAUUAAAGAAUAAUACUUUUUUGUAAACUUAAAUUUGAAAAAUAAACAAUAAAUCCAUCUAAAAAAAAUAUGUAAUAAAUAAAUAAAUAAGUUAAAUAUAAUUAAUAAAAAUUGACUUUCAAAACAAGCCUUCCUGGAGCAUUCUAUUCCAAAUAGGUAUACUUAAAUUUGCAAAAGUCUUAAAAUUCUUUGCUAAAGGAAGUUACUAAUUGAGCGUUGGAAACGACUUUAAUAUUGGGAUGGCACAACCAGCAGCGGUGUCAGUCGUACUAAGUGAAUUACUUCGGGUUAAAUUCUGAAUUUCACUUACAACACCAGGACUCUUUUCCAUUAACUCAAUUAUUUCUAUUCUGCUCUUAAAUAAAGGAAUAUCAUGUUAAAAAGCAAAGUAAGUUUCAAUAAUAGCAACUCACAUUUUCGUACAAAGAAUUUAUUCUUUAGUUGCUAAAAAAACAAAAAAUACUUCGAACUUGAAACGUCAAACAAAAUAAAUAUAAAUCAUUUACAAUGAA